Molecule: long non-coding RNA, 414 nt
Filed under: Prunus persica (peach)
Lineage: Eukaryota; Viridiplantae; Streptophyta; Magnoliopsida; Rosales; Rosaceae
Description: long non-coding RNA (PPER_LNC005010)
Source: RNAcentral
CAUGCAUAUGCAGAAGAAUAAGGGCAUUUCGUUCAAUGAGGCUGCUUAAAUUAAAGAGGUAAGGGGCAGUUCCUGUUUUCACAAAAUGGUUGCUGGCCAUGUCUUGUUAUGCAUAGACCUAGCCGUAUUGCAUAACCUAGUUCAAACUAGCACCAUUGUUGAGCCAUUAAAUGUAGUCUAUUUUUUAGAGCCAAAAUCUCUCUCUUUUCUUCUCUUUCCUAUUUUACAUCUCAAAACUGCUUUAAAGAGCCCAAACCAAAAAACCCAAUUUCUAUCUAAUGAAACCGUAAAAGAAUAAUUGCUAUAAUAUUGCUCGUUGCUUAUGUUUGCUUCUAGUCCAUAAAUGUAAUGAAUCAAGUCUAAUGAAAUUAAGUUUAAUCCUAUGAUUGUGUCACUGUUUUUUUUAAACCUUGC